RNAcentral lists this transfer RNA (50 nucleotides) under Desulfovibrio sp. RNAcentral's name for it is "tRNA-Leu". It matches the Rfam family "tRNA", at positions 25 to 71 of the family's 71-position model. Rfam says of the family: Transfer RNA (tRNA) molecules are approximately 80 nucleotides in length. Their secondary structure includes four short double-helical elements and three loops (D, anti-codon, and T loops). Further hydrogen bonds mediate the characteristic L-shaped molecular structure. tRNAs have two regions of fundamental functional importance: the anti-codon, which is responsible for specific mRNA codon recognition, and the 3' end, to which the tRNAs corresponding amino acid is attached (by aminoacyl-tRNA synthetases). tRNAs cope with the degeneracy of the genetic code in two manners: having more than one tRNA (with a specific anti-codon) for a particular amino acid; and 'wobble' base-pairing, i.e. permitting non-standard base-pairing at the 3rd anti-codon position. The record is from RNAcentral. Lineage: Bacteria; Pseudomonadati; Thermodesulfobacteriota; Desulfovibrionia; Desulfovibrionales; Desulfovibrionaceae.
ACCGGCUCAUAACCGGUUGGUCGCAAGUUCAACCCUUGCAGGUUCCACCA